GUCUCUAUAAUUCAGUGGACUAGAAUACCUCGGUCCUAACGAGAACGUCGCAGGUUCGAAUCCUGCUAGAGACUCCA
This 77-nucleotide transfer RNA is filed under the name Nitrosomonadales bacterium. RNAcentral's name for it is "tRNA-Arg". It matches the Rfam family "tRNA". Rfam says of the family: Transfer RNA (tRNA) molecules are approximately 80 nucleotides in length. Their secondary structure includes four short double-helical elements and three loops (D, anti-codon, and T loops). RNAcentral also lists the same sequence under 1 other name. The record is from RNAcentral. Lineage: Bacteria; Pseudomonadati; Pseudomonadota; Betaproteobacteria; Nitrosomonadales.